UCAAGUGUUUCACGCGCCCGGCCCCUUGGGGGAUGGACGGGACUGGCCCAGCGGCCUUGCGGAGCUCGCAGCCCUGCUUGGCUUGGAGCGGAGCCCUGCGCGGUGGCAAUGGUGGAUCUUCCUCCCUUGUUAUUGCCCCGCUCCGCGCCUGGGGGCAGUUGGGAGGGCUGCAAUACCUGGGCCUUCCUACCGACUCCUUUGCCUUCCAGUAGGGGCAACUGACCCCUUCGUCCACUUGUGAGAGACAAGUCUGGUACCACGUUUUGUUUGUAGCUUUCAGAGUAAUGAGACAAACUGAAUCCUUCAUCUAGGAGGCAAACGGACAGCACCCAUGUCUCAUGAAAGAAGGAUCACAGCCCAUCUAGCUGUAAAGCACUGCAAUCAUUUUGGUUGGUCUCAGAAUCAUAAUUUGGAAGGAUUCUGUAGUGAGUCAUGUAGCUCAUCUUCUCUGCAUUGUGGCAAGAGCACAAAGCAUAAUGACAUCCAUCCCUAACAGG
Mauremys mutica (yellowpond turtle) is the source of this 497-nucleotide long non-coding RNA. RefSeq lists it as uncharacterized. Lineage: Eukaryota; Metazoa; Chordata; Testudines; Geoemydidae. The transcript is spliced from 3 exons. The record is from RefSeq and is a predicted model, not a curated record.